CUAGUAAAGAAGUAAAACGGACUUUUUACUGGGGAUAGAGGGACUUG
Molecule: transfer RNA, 47 nt
Filed under: Allium macrostemon
Lineage: Eukaryota; Viridiplantae; Streptophyta; Magnoliopsida; Asparagales; Amaryllidaceae
Description: partial tRNA-Leu
Source: RNAcentral